This 483-nucleotide ribosomal RNA is filed under the name uncultured bacterium. RNAcentral's name for it is "bacterial SSU rRNA". It matches the Rfam family "Bacterial small subunit ribosomal RNA", at positions 8 to 507 of the family's 1533-position model. The record is from RNAcentral.
AGAGUUUGAUCAUGGCUCAGGACGAACGCUGGCGGCGUGCCUAACACAUGCAAGUCGAGCGAGUGGAUCUCCUUCGGGAGUGAAGCUAGCGGCGGACGGGUGAGUAACACGUGGGCAACCUGCCUCAUAGAGGGGAAUAGCCUUUCGAAAGGAAGAUUAAUACCGCAUAAGAUUGUAGCUUCGCAUGAAGUAGCAAUUAAAGGAGCAAUCCGCUAUGAGAUGGGCCCGCGGCGCAUUAGCUAGUUGGUGAGGUAACGGCUCACCAAGGCGACGAUGCGUAGCCGACCUGAGAGGGUGAUCGGCCACAUUGGGACUGAGACACGGCCCAGACUCCUACGGGAGGCAGCAGUGGGGAAUAUUGCACAAUGGGGAAACCCUGAUGCAGCAACGCCGCGUGAGUGAUGACGGCCUUCGGGUUGUAAAGCUCUGUCUUCAGGGACGAUAAUGACGGUACCUGAGGAGGAAGCCACGGCUAACUACGUG